UCUCUCUAAGACUGCCUUUUUCAUAAUCAUUGUGUUUGUUUAUCUGAAAUGGAAUUCAUAUAGAUAAGGAAUGGGGAUAGUGCAAGGGUAGCUAUUAACCAUUCAAAAGACAACACAAUGGGAAUGAAUCAUCUACCCCCACGCCCUGAUUCUGAGGCUUGUUUUUGCAUUGUUUUUAUCCUCUAAAUAAAAAGAAGGGAAAAAUUCUAAGAAAGAUAAGCUCCUUAUGGCUAGUAAAGUUGAGAAUCAUCAUGAUACAAUGUUUAGACCACAAGUCUGGGAUGGAAGUGGGAACAAUUCAGAAAUGCUGUGCCAAAUUCUCCUUUUGUUCUUUGGCUUGCAGUAUGUUAGGACCAAGGGUAUUUGAAAGAUCAGCAUUUUAUAGGCUGAGAAAUGAAGACCUAGAGAAGGAAUAUGAUGAAUACAUGAAAAGCAAUAAGAAAAGUGUGUGUGUGCAUGUAUAUACAUACAUACAUAUGUAUAUAUGUUGAGGUAUAUGAGGAAGCCAUUUGGUUUAAAACUAAUUUGGCCUGACCUGUUUUUAUCCAGAAAGGCCUAAUGUGGCCUGCCAAGCAUGCCUUGUGUCUCUGCUUUAAACAUUUACAAAGCAAAGAAUGAUGCCUUUAAAGAUACGGAUGAGUGCCUCCCCCCAUAUAAGCGUUUCUUUAAAGAUACGCGUUUCUUCCCAGAAACUAAUGGUCAAACUGACCCAUUGUGCAGAUGUUGUGACCACUGAUCUGCUGUGUUAGCAAAACAUCUUGUGACUGUAGGAAAAAGAGAGAUUCCUAUCAUGUUUGAUGUAUGUUCUUGUUCCAACACGUUAUAUAACCACACUGUACACCUUGCUUCUUCAGAAUGACUCCUUCCUUGGUGAAGGUGCUCGCUCGUGCUAUAUAGUCCUCAGACUGACUCAUGUAAUAAAUGCAUCCUAAUUUUGAUUUAUAGAUUGAUUAUUAACUAUUUGUGUUGAUGUUUCUGGCGUAGUCACAGCAGGAUUUUCACAGUAACCCAAUGGAGACCACCUGGAAUCUACAUUGAACCAGCAUUCAGUACCAAUGAACACCCCCCAACCCCAGCACAGCUUCUCUGCAUUCUUCAAGCACCCCAUCAUUAUCUUAAUCCUGCUACCUUAAUUCAAGCACCACAGGAGGAAAAGGACCAUGACUGCAUUUUAUUAUAUAAUUUGGUUCACAGAUGGGUCUUACUUAGAAGGCUCAAGAAAUUGCCAUGGAAGAAGAGGAACAAAUGUGACAACAAAAAGGGGGAAUUUUUGAUACCACCAUGCAGAUGUGGCUCAGGCCCAAUAAAAAUAGUGCCUAUUGGAUGACAAUUGCUACUGCUCCCGCAUAUUCAUCAAUUAACCCAUUGGGAACCUGAAAUGAGGAUUUUAUAGGGAAAACAAUACUUUCAGAAACUUUCUCCCACAGUAGCUCAUAAAGCCUAUGCUCAUUGUGCUAUACGCCCAAAGGAUAAUCCAGGAAAACCACUCAUGGGUCACAAGGCCACUUUCCCCUUCCCAAGGGACCCUUUGAGGUAUGGCAGUCGGACUUUGUUCAAAUGCCACCCUCUCAAGGGUAUAAGUAUAUCUUAGUAGUGAUCUGUAUGUUCUUGCAUUGGGUUGGGGCCUUUCCUUGUAGAAGGGCAAUGGCUUUAGCAGUAGGUAAAUUAUUAUUGGAAUGGACAACUUCUGUUUGGGGAAUUCCUACUAGAUUACACAGUGACCAGGGAACUGAUUUCACUGCACAAAUAAUCAAAUCUAUUUGUAAUAUUUGGUCAAUAAUGCGGCAUUUUAACUAAUGGCACAAUUCAAACUCAAUUGGCAAAGCUUUCAGAAGCAUUUAAUCUCUCAUGGCCAAAAGCUCUUCCACUAGUGCUCCACAAUCUUACACCUGUUGGUAAACAUUUGCUGUCUCCCUUUGAAAUAAUAAUAGGACAACUUAUGCAAUUAGAUGAGGGACUAUAUGAACCAACUUUGCUCAAGGGAGAUAUAUUACAUUAUUGUCAGGAUCUCACUGAGACACUUAAAAGAAAUGAAAUGUUGGUAGCUGAUUCCUUUCACAGUGAGCUCCUGAGAGAUGAAGACCUUAAGGAUCAUGGACUACAAUCUGGAGAUUUUGUUUAUUGGAAAACACACCAGAAAACGACUCUUUACAGCCCCAUUGGAAAGGACCAUCCUAGGAUGAGAAGAUAGAAUCUGUUACAGACAACUGUCCCAAGACUCUGGACCAGGCCUGUAUUCCCAACCUUGUAUGUCCUCAUUUAAAUCCUUGUAAUGCUUAAACUGUAUACCCAUUUUAUAAUUGCUACAAUAAUUGCUCUUGGUGAGUGAGUUCUUGGACCACAUCUGUUCUAUAAUUAUAAACAAUGUAAUUAUAAAAAGUCAUGUUAAAGCACAUGUGCGAUGUACAACAAUCUAAAAUUAAUUGAAAAAUUAUGUAACCUAUGAAAUACUUUCUCUGUUAAUAUAUGUUUCUAUGCUUGUCCACAAUAUCCAAUUGUUUUCCCCUAAUGUGGAUAACUGGGCAAAUCAAUGAAAUAAAAGCCUAGCACCAAGGGACAUGAUGGACCCAGGGCAAGCAGCAACCACCCUGACACUGAGAAACAAUAUUUUGAUCAUCAAUGCUUUCUAUCAAAAGAUUAUUGAUCAAAAGGGGAAAAAUGAUGAAUAAAUGAAAGCAAUAAGAAAAGAUAUAUAUAUAUAUAUCAGGAAGCCAUUUGGUUUAAAACUAAUAUGGCUUGACCUUGUUUUUUCCAGAAAGGCCUGACGUGGCCUGUCAAGCAUGCAUUGUACAUCUGCUUAAAUCAUUUACAAAGCAGAGAAUGAUGCCUUUAAAGAUAGGGAUGUGUGCCUUCCUCCCCCCCCCAUAUAUGCAUUCUUUUAAGGAUAAGCCUGUCUUCCCAGAAAUUAAGGGUCAAAUUGACCUACUGUGUAUAUUUUAUGACCCCUGACCUACUGAACACUGACCUGCUGUGCUCAUCUUGUGACCAGUGAACUGCUGUGCUAGCAAGACAUCUUGUGGCUGUGGUAAAAAGAGAUAUUCUUGUCAUAUUUGAUGUAUGUUUCUUGUCCCAAGAUGGUAUAUAACCACAGUGUACACCACACUUCUCCAGAGUCCUUCCUUCCUUGGUGAAGGUGCUCUCUCAGGCUGUGUAGUCCUCAGACUGUUUCAUAUAAUAAACUCACCCCAAUUUUGAUUUAUAGAUUGAUUAUUUGUGUCAACAAAUCUAAUUUGCCCAAGUUCACACAGAUGUGUUGAGGCACAUGAUUUCGUGAUUUAUAGGGGAUGAAGCAGGAGGAGCAAAGCUCUAAGAUGUGAGAGAUAGUACCUUGUCUGCUGAACUAUCCCAGUGGUGAGGGAUAUUUCUCUGAGACUUGAGCUACAAAAUAGAGCAGAGGCAGGAAGGAGUAAUUUCAGCCUACUUCCUCUCUUCUCAGAUUAAGCCUUUGCCUCUUCCCUCCCAAGAUUUUGCCCUCAAGGCCUCCAAGACCUGCUGUCAUUUCCUGCUGACCCUACUCCCCAACAUUUUCCCCAUGUGCUAUCUCCUUACUCCUCCUCAGAAAUAAUAAUAAAAUAGCCAUUUUUAUCAAACAUCCAUUAGAAUUGCCAAGCCCAGAGCACUCCACUUC
Molecule: long non-coding RNA, 3628 nt
Organism: Equus asinus (donkey)
Lineage: Eukaryota; Metazoa; Chordata; Mammalia; Perissodactyla; Equidae
Source: Ensembl